CAGAUACAUUAUGAUACAACUGGUCCUGAGAUUUGGGAAGAUACACUUGGGAACGUUGAUAUCUUUGUGAUGGGAAUUGGCAGUGGAGGCACUGUCUCUGGUGUUGGCCAAUACCUUAAAUUUAAAAACCCAAAUGUCAAGGUAUUUGAAAUCUUGUUAGUAUAAAAAAGAGAAUGUGUUUGAUCAUUGAUGUCUUGCUAAUGGUAGAUAUAUGGAGUGGAGCCUGCUGAAAGCAACAUACUCAACGGUGGCAAGCCAGGUGCAUUUUAUUUGUUUAUCCUCUUUGAUUCCUUGUGGUCUAAAUCAAUGUAAGAUUCUAGUAUAUGCGGUUGCUGAUGGUUAGAGCUUUGAACUUUGGGUUAGGUCCACAUGCUAUCACAGGGAAUGGGGUUGGAUUUAAACCGGAUAUCUUGGAUAUGGAUGUUAUGGAGAGCGUUCUUGAGGUAAUGUUACUGAUAAGCUUCCAUGUAUUUGUGUUCUAACAACUUGUAAAAUGCUUAUGUGUUUUGAGUUAUACGUGCAGGUUAGUAGUGAGGAUGCUAUAAAAAUGGCUAGAGAAUUGGCAUUAAAAGAAGGUCUCAUGGUGAGUUUUCUUUUUGGAGAUCGUAGAGAUAACUGGUUUGUUUUGCUGGUGCUGACUAUGGAAACACUAACUUGUAGGUUGGGAUAUCAUCGGGGGCUAACACCGUGGCAGCAAUUAGACUGGCGAAAAUGCCAGAGAACAAAGGCAAACUCAUUGUGGUAAGAGAGGAGACAAAGAAACAACUGUUCUUGAGUCUUUUUUAUGAUCAGUGUCAUGGUUUGACCGGACUUUUGGAAUGUGUUUUGUGUUUGUAUUGAACAGACGAUUCAUGCGAGCUUUGGGGAGAGAUAUCUGUCGUCUAUUCUGUUUGAUGAGCUGAGGAAAGAAGCAGAAGCAAUGAAGCCAGUUUCAGUUGACUGAUUUGGUUUUGGUUGAUGAAGAAAAGGUUCUUUACUAUUAUAUCUUAUCCAGGGAGCAAAAUACUGUGACACAGCCUAUAAAAGAAUGUAAUGGACAAUAUUUGUUUGUUUUAUAUUGAUGUUGGAUAUUGCAAGAAUAAUUUAUGUUAAAUGUGUGAUAUUGGAAAUAAAAGCAUUUUGUGGCUCAGAUAGAGAUUGUUGUGCUGGAAGACUGUGGAUAUGUGUUCAUCUUCAUUUAAGUGUAGAGCUUGGGAGACUGUGAAUGUGUGUUCGAAAAAAAAUUCUGGUAAAUAUGAUUUCUGUUACGAAAGACAGCUAAGAAAGCCAGCAGCCAGCCGUUUAUGUUGAAAAAUAUAAAAAAUGUGGAGCCCGCUGCACUAUUUGCACAGUGAAUUUCUUUGAACAUUUACGUUCGUUGUAUUACGCAUCUCAAAACCUCAACCUUCUCUUCUCUCUCUGAUAAAAUAUUUCUAUCAGUGUUAAAGUUUCUACGGGUAUAAAAUUUCGCCCUUAUCUAAAUUCCUGCGAAACAAUAAAAUACCAGUUCUUUUUAUAACACGUUAUCAGCACGAUCACUCUGCGAUUCGGUAAAAUUUAUUUGUAUCAUUUAUACUCUGUUAUAAUGGUCGGUAUACCGCCUCUACUAUUAUUUAUAUCAUGUUAUAAUGGCCGGAAUACCGCCUAUAUUAUUUACUAGUAAUUUAAUUUAUUUAUUGGUCGGCCGAGCCGCCUUAUAUUCUGUUUAUUAUUUAUUGGUCGGCCGAGCCGCCUUAUAUUCUGUUUAUUAUUUAUUGGUCGGCCGAGCCGCCUUAUAUUCUGUUUAUUAUUUAUUGGUCGGCCGAGCCGCCUUAUAUUCUGUUUAUUAUUUAUUGGUCGGCCGAGCAAAAUAUUUAAUUUAAUUAAACCCAAAAUUCACAAUUUUAAAAUCAUUUGAGUAAAAUAUACUAUACAAUUAAAUUAAAUUACAUUAUUAAAAUUUAACACUUCCAUAUUUUAUUUUAAAAUCUCACCACCAUAUAUUUAAAAUAUUGAGAAAUCUAUUACCAGAUAAUUAAAUAUAAUAGGAAUAAGAAAAAAAUCAAAAAAUAAAAAGUGAUUCAGAUGUUUAGGAAAAUAUUAAUGUUAUUUUCAGAUAUAUAUUUACAAGAUCAGAAGUCAAUCACAACAUCCAAUAAGAAUUCAGUUCAAACAAAACCAUUCUAUUACCUAACGUAAAUGAUAACACCUACACUUUUGUCUCUACCUAUUAUUUUAUCGGGUUGAAUAGUAGCAUAUACACUUAACCAAGAAGAUUAUACAAUGUAUUUGCCUUAGAGCAUGAUUAACCCUACAACCCCAUUAGAGUCUCUUAAUGAUUUUUUUAAUAAUAAUUGUUGGUUAAGAACUUAGUCAAGAGACAUCAACAUUUUUCUGUUCCAAUGCUAGUCUCUUAAAUUAGGGUUCUUAAAAAAAUAUUAUCAAACAUUUAUCCCUAGAAGAAAACACAACCCAGCAGUUAAAAAGAAAAAGCAGUAUUGAAAUUUUACCAGUAUAUGCGUUCAUCUUUGCCAAGUUCACACCUAGUAAUGUCAGAUUCUGUCGCAAGGAUUCCUAUAAAAACAAAACAGGUUAGAUUUAUGAGUGGCAAACAGAAACAAAGAAGAAAUGAGAGGAGAGCACAAGAGAAGACCUGUAAUUGUUGUUUCAACCUCUAGUUCACGGUUUUGUUCUGCAUAAAUAUCAACCAUUUAAGUAACAAAACUUGCUCAUCAGCUUCAGCAGAAAACUAAAAACCCAUUCAAGCACCGAGAGAAGACGGGAUGACGUACCAUUAUCCCCUGGUCAGGAAGUUAAGUCAUUGAUGAGGACAUGAUUUAUAGCAGAAGGGAAAAGACCCGUGCUUUCAUGAAUUUUCGUGGUAAUCUUUGUCAGCCAAGAAGGCACUGAAACAAUGCAAAGGGUCUACAUAACUCUUUUGAGUAUCUAGAAUUAAAAUUAUUAAACGGAUGUUUUUCUAAUUAUUACUUACACUCUUGUGGAACAAGACCCUUUUCAUGGACCAUACCACCUGCAAAAUGAACAAAAGCUCAAGACUUUAAUUUUUUUUCUUCAAAACACAAUGUAAUGAAAACGAAGUGUAUGAAAGUCUUCUAACAGCACACCCCAGUUCUGUAAUCUUCUGUUCUUUAACGUCUUCCACUUGAAACCAGAUGCUCCAUAUAUCUUUAAACAUGACAGUAAAAUGGGUAAGAGAGGAACACAAAAUCAACAAUGUCUCAAAUGCAAAAGAUGUGGUGGAGGAGAUUACACGAUUGAGGAGCUGAGUUUGCUCUUGGUCAGUGAUGAAACCAGGAAUGUAGAAGACUGUAGGGGUAAGACCUACCCUGAAGCUCUCUAGCCCUAUGACUGUAUCAAGAAUCAAAUUUGGUUUUGUAAUUGAAAACAAUCUUAUUGAAUCCUCUAUCAAGAAAGGGACUUUAAAGUUUAAACCAAGCACAAGCGGAAGAGUUCCAACUACAGAUCCAAACUAACAUACUGGCAAAGCUAUUACUCUGUCUCAGCUAUGGGGAGCAAAAACAAUCAUAUUUUAAAGGAAUCAGAGUCUUUUUCAACUGAUUCUUCUGUAAUAUACUUAAACCCAAGCAUAAAGAAAAAAGAAUAUGAAUGAAUCUAACCAGAAACUGCAAUAGGAAUCUCUUUGCUUCUCUGGUUCUGUUUCUUCUUCGUUUCCACUUAGCGUUUCCAUGGCGGAUCAACCCAGAAACUGCAAUAGGAUUCGAUCAAAGAGAUUCUGGGAGAAUAAAGGCCGACGAAUUUCUUCUGCGUCGCGGAGAGAUUAAGAGACGUCGCUUGUGUCGCUAGAUUAAGAGACGUCGCUUAAGGUAAUUCAUUUUUUCUUUUAUUUUUAAUCAUAAAUAAACCUAAAUACCCCCAUAAGAGACGCCGAUAAUCAUGGUCUUAUUCCUUCGGAUUCAGAUCGAUUUAUAUGAUUGUUUGAUUUCUCCACCUUUAAAAAUUAAUAGUUGUGUUUAUGUUUCUAUACAUUCACGUCAUCAAUUAAAAGGGAAAUAUAUAAUAUACAUUAAAACAUUUGUAAAAAAUAUUUUUAUGUUUGUAUGUUAUGCCAGAAAAAAAUUAAUAAAACCCAAAAAUCACUAUUAUAAAAUAAUAUGAGUAAAAUAUAUACAACUAAAUUAAUUUAUUAAAACCUAACAUUUCCACAUUGUAAGAACUCACCACCAUUUAUUUGAAAUAUUGAAAACUGUACAAGAUAAUUACAAUUUUUACUAAGAAGAAACAAACGGCGAUUCAAAUGUUUAGGAAAACGAGGAUCAUUCGAUCAUUCAUACUUUUCUGUAAAACAAUACUAAUAAUUCAGCUAUGUAAGAAAAUAAUUGUACAUUUAAUUAUGAUUACGAUAGUAUUAAGAAAAUGUUAAUACUCUUUCGAAAAGUAUAUGGAAGAUAAGAAGUGAAUCUUAACAUCCAAUAAGAAUUCAGUGCAAAAAAAAAAAAUCAUUGUAUUAGUAUUACCUAACGUAAAUGAUAACGCCUACACUUUUGUCUCUACCUAUUUUUAUAUGUUUUUUGGUCGAACAUAUCGCAUUUAAAUAGUAGCAUUAUACACUAACCACUAGAGGGAGAUAAUACAAUUUAUUUGUCUUUAUCCUCGGAUUCAGAGCCAUUUAUAUGAUUGGUUUGCUUCUCCACCUUUCACUCAUCUUCUCCUACUCUGCUCUCUCUUAUAACAAGCAAAGACUUGUGGCUUUCUCUCUCCCUCUCUCUCUUCGUUUUGCUCUGUUUUUCAACAAUGGCUACUAUCUGGAGGAGGUUGCUGAAGACAGAGACGAUCCCCCGCAUCAGCCAAAGCACGAGGAAGCUCUUCUCCACCGACGGAUCUUCUUCUUUCGCCGACAGACUCAGAAACCUUCCCAAAGAGUUCCCUGCAACUCAGGCCAAACGCGAUGCUUCUCUGGUAAAUGAAAAAAAAAAAACUUUGUUUCUUGGGCAUCUUGAAAAUGUUAUCUUCUUCCGAUGUUGACUGAUCGAUCAAAUCUGUCUGUGUUGUAGCUCAUUGGAAGAACCCCACUCGUGUUCCUCAACAGAGUCACUGAAGGCUGUGGAGCUUAUAUUGCUGCCAAGCAAGAACAUUUCCAGCCUACUUGUAGCGUCAAAGACAGGUGACGACUGUGAACUCAUAAUCUUAGGACAUAAUCAGUCCCAAAAAGCGUUGACUUUUGUUUGGGUUUUGUUGGCUCCAGACCAGCUUUAGCUAUGGUUGCAGAUGCAGAGAAGAAAAACCUUAUCACUCCUGGAAAAGUAAUCCUCUUUUUUUUACUUACUUUAAUUAUUAGAUACCGGUUUAAUGUUAACCAUUCGGUUUGGUUUCCUUUUGCUUAACCGAUGUAAUACAAAUUUGUUGAACCAUGUAGCAAACUUUGAUUAACACAUUAAUUCAAUAAAUUUCAUAUACUUAAUCUCAAAUUAAUGGUGAAUUAACUCACUGAAGUGAUGUGUUUAUGUUUAUCAGACAACAUUGAUAGAGCCAACUUCAGGAAACAUGGGAAUAAGUAUGGCUUUCAUGGCGGCUCUGAAAGGGUACAAGAUUAUAAUGACAAUGCCUUCUUACACAAGUUUGGAGAGGAGAGUGACUAUGAGGUCCUUUGGUGCUGAGCUUGUCCUCACUGAUCCAACCAAAGGAAUGGGUGGAACCGUUAAGAAAGCUUAUGAUCUCCUUGAGAGUACUCCUGAUGCUCAUAUGUUGCAACAGUUUGCUAAUCCAGCAAACACUCAGGUACUUAAAAGAGUUCUGAUAGAUCCCUAGGUCAUGUAGUGUUAGAUAGAGAGAGAGGUGAAUGAUGGUUGGAAUAUUUGGUGCAGAUACAUUAUGAUACAACUGGUCCUGAGAUUUGGGAAGAUACACUUGGGAACGUUGAUAUCUUUGUGAUGGGAAUUGGCAGUGGAGGCACUGUCUCUGGUGUUGGCCAAUACCUUAAAUUUAAAAACCCAAAUGUCAAGGUAUUUGAAAUCUUGUUAGUAUAAAAAAGAGAAUGUGUUUGAUCAUUGAUGUCUUGCUAAUGGUAGAUAUAUGGAGUGGAGCC
RNAcentral lists this long non-coding RNA (6022 nucleotides) under Brassica napus (rape). RNAcentral describes it as "long non-coding RNA (BNAP_LNC022041)". Lineage: Eukaryota; Viridiplantae; Streptophyta; Magnoliopsida; Brassicales; Brassicaceae. The record is from RNAcentral.